UUUGUUAUAAUAAUAAAUACUAUUUUCAUGAAAUGCUGUAAAAUUCAGAAUAGAUGAAGGAGGGAAUUAUUACUUGUGAAUAAUUACCAGUAUAUCUUCUUUAAACAAUGUUGUUUAAAAGGAGAUUGCUAUUUGUGGCCGUGGCUAAGGGAAGAAGGAAAACACAACAUUCUUGGUUAAUAGAAGGGUUGGACCUGUGACUUUGUUAUUCUGCACCACUUUCUAGGGAAUUUAUCAGAUUUUCCAUCCCUGGAGACCUUGAGAAUGGUGAAAAUGGUAGAAGCAGUCACAAAAUGAUUGUCUAUUGAAGUGGAGUUUGAUGUUACCAGCCAACAAUUACUACCAUAAUUUUAUAUUGGGUUGCUGUGAGUUUUUCGGGCUAUAUGGCCAUGUUCCAGUAGCAUUCUCUCCUGAUGUUGUGCCUGCAUCUGUUGCUGACAUCUUCAGAGGUUCUAUUGGCAGUGAAGCAAGUGGAGUGCAUAUAUAUCUUGUGUAAUGUCCAGGGUGGGAGAAGGAGGCCUUGUCUGUUUAAAGCAGUGGUUCCCAAGUUUGAAAUUAUGAAACUAUUUUUUGAACUCAGAAUAGAAAGGUAAUACAAAAAAAUGCACCUGUGGCCAUCACCGCCCCCCUGGAUCGCUACAGCGCCCACCAGGGGGCGGUAGAGCCCACUUUGGGAAUCACUAGUUUAAAGCAAGUCUGAAUGUUGCAAUUAGCAAGCUUGAAUAGUGUUGAGUAGCCAUGAAGCUGCAAAGUCAAUCAGUGAGAGUAUCUGCCUAGAGGUAGCCUGUCCUCUGCUGCUUGGAGGCAUCCUUUGUUUGAUUGGUGAUAACUGGUACCUGAUUGUUUGCUGUCUGGAGUUCUCCUGUUUCUCACUAGUGUUCCUUAUUUACUGUCUUGAUUCUGGUGUUUUUUAAUACUGGUAACCAGAUUUUGUUCAUUUUCCUAGUUUCGUCUUUUAUAUUGAAAUUGUUCACGUGCUUAUGGAUUUCUGGGGGUUCUUUGUGUAGUCUGACAUAAUAGUUGUCAGAGUAAUCUAGAAUUUCUGUGUUCUCAAAUAAUAUUCUGUGUCCAGGUUAGUUCACCAAGUGCUCUGCUAUGGCUGACUUCUCUGGUUGA
RNAcentral lists this long non-coding RNA (1116 nucleotides) under Anolis carolinensis (green anole). Its description in RNAcentral is "lncRNA (ENSACAG00000036964.1)". The record is from RNAcentral. Lineage: Eukaryota; Metazoa; Chordata; Lepidosauria; Squamata; Anolidae.